Molecule: ribosomal RNA, 109 nt
Filed under: Candidatus Uhrbacteria bacterium
Lineage: Bacteria; Candidatus Uhriibacteriota
Source: RNAcentral
UCCGGUGCCUCUUGCUGUGAGGUCACACCUGUUCCCAUCCCGAACACAGCCGUUAAGCUCACAUGCGCCGAUGGUAGUGCGAUUGUGCGAGAGUAGGUUGGUGCCGGGA